AACGAACGCUGGCGGCAUGCCUAACACAUGCAAGUCGAACGGGAUCCUAGCUUGCUAGGUGAGAGUGGCGGACGGGUGAGUAACACGUGGGAAUCUGCCUUUUGGUUCGGGAUAACCGCGGGAAACUGCGGCUAAUACCGAAUGCCCUCGAGAGAGGAAAGAUUUAUCGCCAGAAGAGGAGCCCGCGUCCGAUUAGGUAGUUGGUGGGGUAAAGGCCUACCAAGCCGACGAUCGGUAGCUGGUCUGAGAGGAUGACCAGCCACACUGGGACUGAGACACGGCCCAGACUCCUACGGGAGGCAGCAGUGGGGAAUAUUGCGCAAUGGGCGAAAGCCUGACGCAGCGACGCCGCGUGGGUGAUGAAGGCCUUCGGUC
Molecule: ribosomal RNA, 375 nt
Filed under: uncultured bacterium
Lineage: Bacteria
Description: bacterial SSU rRNA
Rfam family: Bacterial small subunit ribosomal RNA
Source: RNAcentral